UAUCGAUGUUUGAAUAAAUAUAGAUAAUUAUGCUUAUCUAAAUAAGUGUCGGGUUUCGUUAAGUUGUAACUUGCGUGUUGUCGAAAUGCUAUAAUUUCAGUUUAUAAGUUAUAAAAAAACGUCACUAAAAUAAAUAUACUUUUAUAUUUAUUUUAUAAGAAAGCUUGGAUUUCGAUAAGUGUCGUUAAGAUUUAGAUACGUUUUAUAAUUCGGGUUUUAACGAAAAUCGGGCAGAGCUUCCUCUGUUUUUUUGGAAUAACCCCGACAACAUAAAUGUCGAUAUUUUGUCCAAAUUCAACAAUUCAACAAACAUUAUAUAUAAAGUUUACGACAAGUAUAUCAAAACGUCAAAUAUGAAACCAACUCACUAAAUAUAAAACCGUUAGUUAGUCGGGUCGAGCUCGGUUCGCGUAAACUAAUAAAAUCUAACUAACGUAUACUAACUCGCUUUGAUUAAAUUUGUUACCGGGUCUUCGAGUCGACUGCGUUUGACCUCACGUUGACAUGAUGUUGACUGGGACCCGAACCAAAAAUGUGACUUUAAUUUCGAACCGUUCGUGUCGCGAAGCUCAAAUUGGAGAAAUCUGCCCAAACUAACCACGCCCUGAUCCGUUGCGCCUGUUGUUGACCCGAGUCUACUCGGUUUGACCCGAGUCGACCGGGUUUGACCCGCUGACUCGAACCCGCGUCUCGACCCGUGACCCGAACUGAAACUAAAACCAAACAUCACACCUGAACUGAUGAGUUUAAACCCGAAUUCCAUCCAAACAAAACCCAAACUAAAUUAGAAUCGAAUCUGAACGUGAAACUGACCCGAGUCACCUGAAUCAAUAUAACCACCACCACCACUGCCGUCACCGGCUGCCACCGCGUGGCGGUUUUGUUAUUCCGUGAACACCACCACUGAAGACAUCACCUUUUCCAGCUUCAUCAUCGGAGCAAAGAAAUAAUCGAACUUCAUAUCGAUUAAAUCUGAACUGAUUCAAAGUAAAAGAUGAAGGACAUGGGUUUUACCAGUGAGCAUGUCGAAAGAAAUUAAAGUCGUCGUCAACCUCCACCGCUUGCCCCUUUCUCUCUAUCUCUUCGUGUACCGUCGCCGUGUGCCACCAACGAGGGUGGUGGCAGUUGUUUCUGCUUCGAGUGGGGAGCCGGAACAAGUGGGUUAGUCACCGGAGUGACCUGAGUGUUCGCCGGAGAAAAUCAACAGGAGGGAGGGAGGGUGUUGUCGGCUGGUAACACCGCCGACAGCCGGCGGUUAACAAGCUCCGAUCAUCGUCGACCAGGAGCAUCACGAGAGAGAGAGGGUAUGUGAGAGUGGAGUUAAUAUCUUUUUUUUUAAAGAUGGUGAAGGGAGUUUUAGUAGAGUAUGUGUGUGUUUGUCUGUAUGUAAUUCGAGAGAAAGUGGCAAAGAAAAAGAAGGUUUUGUAAGGAUGAUGGUGAUGAGGUUUUUAUUUAGGUGUAGAUGAUAGAUCAGACAUAAUUUGUCUGUGUGCAAUUGUAGGCAUAAUCAAGAGAAAGGGAAUUAGAGGAUUAGGGUUUCUUCAACUUGAAGAUGAAAGAGAGCAGAUUGUGUGCGUGAUUUAGUUUUGUGGUUUCAAAUGAAGGAUAAGGUUGUAGCUACAAAUAUAUACUAGGGUUAGUUUAAUGGGCUUUGGGCUUGGGCCCAAGGCCCACAAGCCCAAUCCCCGUUACCGGUAGCCGUUUGUCGUGUUCGUUCACUGAUUACUGUAAAAAUCGCAUGAAAUCGCGCCAUUGCCAUUUUAAUCCGUUUUUUGAUAUGGUUUCUACUACGGAUAUUAAAAUUUAAUUACGAAGCUAGUUAUAUCAUAAAAUUUCAGUUUUGGAAGUAAUACGCAUGUUUGAUGCUUCUGUUUCGUUGCCGGUGCGUUCCUGCAGUCGCGUUUUUUGUUCGCGUUCGCGCUUUGUGACGUACGAAAGCACAAUAAAUUCACAAAACUAAACUUAUGAGUAUAAAAUACGCAUAUAAAAUUUGUAUUUGUCGGCGUUGUCAAUAUUUCGCACGGUUUCUAUUCGUUAUCGAUUAUCGUUACGCUGUUUCUCCGCAGUUUAUCAUCCGCGUACUAUAAAGUCGAUUAGGCGUUCCUAGGCAUUUACAAAAGCCUAAUUGGGUUAACUCGUGCCUUAAACACUAUCAGUUAUCGUCUUAAUCGUUUCUUAACCACGUAAUUAGAAGCUGUUAAUUACCGGUUGUCACAUUCUCCCCGUGUUGCAGAAAUUUCGUCCUCGAAAUUUAGUCUAUGUUAUCUCCUCAAAGUUGUGUCGUUUCGCAGGUAAGUCCGAAAAAUACCAUAGUGAAUGACCGCGUACUCGAAUCAAGACUUAUUCGGAUUAGUGAGUGUAAAGACAUUUUGCAUCAAUAAAAACCCGAUGGUUGAACUGAGUUUGUUCCAGAAAUAGAUGUCAAAUGAAUGAAGCAUAGUGAUACUAUCACCGAUGUGAUUAAGUUUACGGAGUUCAACAAAAGGGGAAUUUCGAUCAAGAGAAUUGAAAAUGAACGUUCACAACAUGCAAAUCAAUUUUGAA
Molecule: long non-coding RNA, 2544 nt
Filed under: Helianthus annuus (common sunflower)
Lineage: Eukaryota; Viridiplantae; Streptophyta; Magnoliopsida; Asterales; Asteraceae
Description: sRNA HanXRQr2_Chr12g0549131
Source: RNAcentral